AUACGGAGGGUGCAAGCGUUGUCCGGAUUUAUUGGGUUUAAAGGGUGCGUAGGUGGUUUUUUAAGUCAGUGGUGAAAGCCUACAGCUUAACUGUAGAGGUGCCAUUGAAACUGGAAAACUUGAGUAUGGACGAGGUAGGCGGAAUUUGUGGUGUAGCGGUGAAAUGCAUAGAUACCACAAAGAACACCGAUAGCGAAGGCAGCUUACUAGGCCAUAACUGACACUGAGGCACGAAAGUGUGGGGAGCGAACAGGAUUAGAUACCCUAGUAGUCC
RNAcentral lists this ribosomal RNA (274 nucleotides) under uncultured bacterium. RNAcentral describes it as "partial 16S ribosomal RNA". It matches the Rfam family "Bacterial small subunit ribosomal RNA", at positions 523 to 796 of the family's 1533-position model. The record is from RNAcentral.